AUUAACCCUUCCCAUCAUUUGCCUCCCACCUUGCACUGACAUCUAAGUGAUGAUUUCACUUUUCAGGUUCAAGGUCUUCCUCCUAUGUUAAGUCAUGGGAACAAAAGCCAUUUAAAGUCCUAAAAUCACUGGCGAUGUUGACCAAUGAGACAUCUUCCUGGUGAGGUGAACACUUGGCUGAAAGAGCACAUCUGUGUAUAUGAUUCCAGAGACUAGAAAGGCCUCUGCCACAGGGAAUGUAAUUUCAGUGGUAUCCAGCUUAAGAAACCCUGGCCUACAGUCUCAGAGAGAUACAAAGCUGGUGGUAUCAAGGGCCUGACCAGGCACCACUAUCUGACUGAUAUGCACCAUCAGAUGAAGGAUGAAGUUAAGUGACACAGCUAGAGUGAUGCUCCUGGUAAACAGUGGAACUGGGAUUUGAAUUUACAUCUGCCUGAUUCCAGAGCCAGCAUUUUAACACAUUGCUGCUUCCCAGAAAUCUCACUCCUGGGAAUUUUCCUGAAGGCAAUGGUUUCUAAAAAGGUUAUAUGCACAUCUAUAUUUACUGUUUGCUUAUAACAUUAAGAAAAAUGAAAACACCCUAAAGUCUGCAAAGUAAAAGAAGCAGUUGAGCAAAAUAUAAUCUCCCAUCUUGAAGAAAUGGCUUAUGCUUAUUAAAAUGAAAAUUAUGAAAAAUAUGUAACAUUAGAGAUCUAUAUUCUAAUGUUAACCUUGAAAACCAAAAUAUAUUUUGUAGGUCAACUAAAAGUAAAACUGUGCACAUGGAUAUGCAGAUUUAUGUAUGUGUUUGCAUACAUAUAUGCAAAUAGACAAGGGCAGAAAAGCAGUUUAUAAAAUGAAAUCAAUUUCAGAGAGUUGUGGGAUUAGAAGCAAUGUAUUUUAGUCUUUAAAUUUUCCAUUAGAGUUGUUAUAAUAAAAACAGUGAUUAAACUGACACACACAUAGGUUUGAUGUCACUCCUAAUCCAAUCAAAGGACUUACACAGCCACCCACUGCCUCGUCCACACCAGGCUUCCAGCGACCUGUGUGUCACUGAGAUCUUUCUCCUCAAUCCUGUUAGCAAUGGACUUCAGGGUGCAUCUUUGCCAUUACAAACCCCAAAUGCAGGCUGAAGAGGCUCACACUAGGCCUUAGGGAAGAAAGAGAAAAAGCCCUCAAUCCCCAAAGGUCUCGCAUUUGGCAGCCAGGACAGAUUUUUCCAUUAAUAAGGUCUUUCAAGUCAAAGCUGGAGCCAAUUCUUAUCUCUCAUGGUAAACCUAGUUAGAGGACAAGGAAGAGAUAUGAAAGUACGGGCAUUCGCCUCCUCCCUCCUG
Long non-coding RNA from Callithrix jacchus (white-tufted-ear marmoset), 1313 nucleotides. RefSeq lists it as uncharacterized. The record is from RefSeq and is a predicted model, not a curated record. NCBI's taxonomy places the organism in Eukaryota, Metazoa, Chordata, Mammalia, Primates, Cebidae.